RNAcentral lists this non-coding RNA (89 nucleotides) under Methyloversatilis universalis. Its description in RNAcentral is "c-di-GMP sequence". It matches the Rfam family "c-di-GMP-I riboswitch aptamer". From Rfam's summary of the family: GEMM was predicted in a large-scale screen for bacterial structured RNA regulatory elements. Genes associated with GEMM are involved in a diverse array of functions, including chemotaxis regulation, signal transduction, secretion and chitin. Lineage: Bacteria; Pseudomonadati; Pseudomonadota; Betaproteobacteria; Nitrosomonadales; Sterolibacteriaceae. The record is from RNAcentral.
AGCUGAAAAAGGCAAACCCGUCGAAAGGCGGGGACGCAAAGUCACCGGUCUAAUCCGCGCGUGCGCGGGAUGACGGCGGGACCGCCACU